AUCUAUGGUGAUCAUUGCAGCAGCGAUUGGCACAGCAGGUGCACUAGAGUGUUACACGUGCUCCAGUGUAAAUGCAAUAUACCGAUGCAACAAUACCCAGACAUGUACCACAGACCAGUCUUGUUUCCAAGAUAAGAGAACAAAUACUGAUGGAAUUCUUCUGAUGCUUGGAUGCAUUGAUAAUUAG
Molecule: long non-coding RNA, 187 nt
Organism: Mercenaria mercenaria
Lineage: Eukaryota; Metazoa; Mollusca; Bivalvia; Venerida; Veneridae
Exons: 3
Source: RefSeq, a predicted model, not a curated record